RNAcentral lists this ribosomal RNA (743 nucleotides) under Staphylococcus aureus. Its description in RNAcentral is "bacterial SSU rRNA". It matches the Rfam family "Bacterial small subunit ribosomal RNA", at positions 1 to 726 of the family's 1533-position model. Lineage: Bacteria; Bacillati; Bacillota; Bacilli; Caryophanales; Staphylococcaceae. The record is from RNAcentral.
UUUAUGGAGAGUUUGAUCCUGGCUCAGGAUGAACGCUGGCGGCGUGCCUAAUACAUGCAAGUCGAGCGAACGGACGAGAAGCUUGCUUCUCUGAUGUUAGCGGCGGACGGGUGAGUAACACGUGGAUAACCUACCUAUAAGACUGGGAUAACUUCGGGAAACCGGAGCUAAUACCGGAUAAUAUUUUGAACCGCAUGGUUCAAAAGUAAAAGACGGUCUUGCUGUCACUUAUAGAUGGAUCCGCGCUGCAUUAGCUAGUUGGUAAGGUAACGGCUUACCAAGGCAACGAUGCAUAGCCGACCUGAGAGGGUGAUCGGCCACACUGGAACUGAGACACGGUCCAGACUCCUACGGGAGGCAGCAGUAGGGAAUCUUCCGCAAUGGGCGAAAGCCUGACGGAGCAACGCCGCGUGAGUGAUGAAGGUCUUCGGAUCGUAAAACUCUGUUAUUAGGGAAGAACAUAUGUGUAAGUAACUGUGCACAUCUUGACGGUACCUAAUCAGAAAGCCACGGCUAACUACGUGCCAGCAGCCGCGGUAAUACGUAGGUGGCAAGCGUUAUCCGGAAUUAUUGGGCGUAAAGCGCGCGUAGGCGGUUUUUUAAGUCUGAUGUGAAAGCCCACGGCUCAACCGUGGAGGGUCAUUGGAAACUGGAAAACUUGAGUGCAGAAGAGGAAAGUGGAAUUCCAUGUGUAGCGGUGAAAUGCGCAGAGAUAUGGAGGAACACCAGUGGCGAAGGCGACU